AUAAGUUGUAACUUCUAAUCUGAUCCUCCACUUGAUGUGAAAUUUUGUAUGCAAUUGUCAAUGUAAGCCUUUUAUACGCUUAAGAAUUUUCAGCCCAUUCCAACUUACGGAUUGUGAAAAAACCUCCAAAAACUACACUAAUGUCACUCGGCCACCAACUUGAAAGGUGAAGCAAAAAUUCUAGCAAUGAUUUCUCCUUCUCCAACUGUUUACUUUGACUCAAAAUUGGUGUGCAACUUGAUCUUCAAGUCUUUCAAUACCUUACCAAAUUUCACCUUGA
Molecule: long non-coding RNA, 280 nt
Filed under: Physcomitrium patens
Lineage: Eukaryota; Viridiplantae; Streptophyta; Bryopsida; Funariales; Funariaceae
Description: long non-coding RNA (PPAT_LNC014255)
Source: RNAcentral